AACAGUGGCAGGAGGAGGAAAACGAGAGAAGAAAGGAGCCGACACAUCUAAACAAGCAGCCAGGGCACUGUGCAUACAGAUGUAAGGUCUUCUGGGGUCAGCUGGACUCAUAAGGCAGGAGGGACCUCAUCUUUCAGAGAAGGAAUGCCUAGAUUAUCAACAGAACUGUGCCCCAAGACCCAGAGAGACCUCCCUGCCCCAGUGCCUAUUAGAAUGACAAAAGGGGUGGACCCAAGCCCAGAUGACCAGGGCUCUGCCUGGAAGUGCCAGGCCAGGACCCUGGGUCUGUAGAGCCUCUGCCAUUGCAAAGGAUGAGCCAGAUGGAAAAAUUCAGCAUGGAGCUGUAUCCCUGAGCCAAGAGGGCACCCCCUUCCCCGUUGGGGGAGCGAUGGCUUGGGAACAAGCCCCCCGCCCCGUGCUCCAGUGCAUCUAGCUGCCUUUGGCCACCAUCCUGAAACAGCAGGGAGCAGGCUUCCUCUUUCCUCACACCCUGGAACCCAGUGAUUGCUGACCAGGAAGCAGAACCUUCCAAGGCUGCAGGCUUGCAUCCUGCCUCUCAGCCAAGACCUGUCUCCUCAGUCAUCUGAAACCACCCUACCACGCCAGACGCUCCCUCUGCCUUCUUGCUAUUCCAGCUCUCUCUUCUUCCCACUUCCUAUUUUCUCUCCAUUUUGUUCAAACUCCAUGAACAAGAACAACAGAGCUCAGACAGCGAAAGCCUCCCCAUCCCAGCUGUAUGCAAAUUCCCAGCAGGCUGAAAGGACCACCCGCCCACCCAAGACCACCUCCCAGGAAGCCGAGGCCUUGUGUGCAGCCCCAGAGGAGCUUGAGCUGAACGGAGAAUGGGUUGAGGUGGGUGGGACCCAUCACUGUUCUUCCCUUCUCAUUCCUGCGCGUUCCCUGAAGAGUCUCUGGGGCCUGCUUUUCCCCCCAGCAGAGACGGAUGUGUCACAUUUAUGGCAUCCCAUUUCCUUCACAGAGAGGCUAUAGAUCCUGUUUCAUUCUGGUGUAUUUAAUUCACUCCAUAGGAAUCAAUAAAAACUUUAAAUUAAAAAAAAGGCAAAAUCCAAUUGCUUCUCAUUUUCUUGA
This 1089-nucleotide long non-coding RNA is filed under the name Homo sapiens (human). RNAcentral's name for it is "HSALNT0333827". The record is from RNAcentral. Lineage: Eukaryota; Metazoa; Chordata; Mammalia; Primates; Hominidae.